Long non-coding RNA from Cornus florida, 405 nucleotides. RefSeq lists it as uncharacterized. The transcript is spliced from 2 exons. Lineage: Eukaryota; Viridiplantae; Streptophyta; Magnoliopsida; Cornales; Cornaceae. The record is from RefSeq and is a predicted model, not a curated record.
GAAAAAAUAUAUAUAGAGAGAGAAAGAGAGCCGAGAGUGCAUAGAGAGGGCGAGAUUGAGAAGGCACAGAGAGAGCGGAGAGUUGCGGAGGAGGCCGGGAGCUUAAGACUUUGAUGAUCUAGUGAGAAAAAUUCAUUUUCAGGGUCACGGAAAAGAAGUGGCAGAUGACAUUCCACCACAGGCCUAGUAUGGGUUAGAAGAUCAUUUUAUUGUUUUUGCAUCUAAGCCUCACCAUUUUUUUUGUAAAACUUAGCAUAUUAUAUUCUGUACUGAGAUUUUUGGACUCUUGUUAUUAUAAUUAUAUUCAUAGGCUGUAACUUUAAUAUAAGUUGUCUAAACGUUGUAAGACAUGGACUUUUGAUUUUAGCCAUAUUUUUGGGACUGAAUUAUGAUAUUUGGAUUAAA